UACAGAGGUCUCAAGCGUUGUUCGGAUUCAUUGGGCGUAAAGGGUGCGUAGGUGGCGCUGUAAGUCAGGUGUGAAAUUUCGGAGCUUAACUCCGAAACUGCAUUUGAUACUGCGGUGCUCGAGGACUGGAGAGGAGACUGGAAUUUACGGUGUAGCAGCGAAAUGCGUAGAGAUCGUAAGGAAGACCAGUGGCGAAGGCGGGUCUCUGGACAGUUCCUGACACUGAGGCACGAAGGCCAGGGGAGCAAACGGG
RNAcentral lists this ribosomal RNA (253 nucleotides) under uncultured bacterium. Its description in RNAcentral is "partial 16S ribosomal RNA". It matches the Rfam family "Bacterial small subunit ribosomal RNA", at positions 524 to 776 of the family's 1533-position model. The record is from RNAcentral.